AUCGCUUCUCAGCCUUUUGGCUAAGAUCAAGUGUAAAAAAAAAAAGCAUGCUGCAAACAAGGAGUAAAUACAUAUUUGCAAAACAUAGCUAACAAACUAUGUACUUGUAUUUGGAAUAUACAAGUAACAUAUACAACUC
Molecule: small nuclear RNA, 139 nt
Filed under: Fukomys damarensis (Damara mole-rat)
Lineage: Eukaryota; Metazoa; Chordata; Mammalia; Rodentia; Bathyergidae
Description: U2 spliceosomal RNA
Rfam family: U2 spliceosomal RNA
About the family: U2 is a small nuclear RNA (snRNA) component of the spliceosome (involved in pre-mRNA splicing). Complementary binding between U2 snRNA (in an area lying towards the 5' end but 3' to hairpin I) and the branchpoint sequence (BPS) of the intron results the bulging out of an unpaired adenosine, on the BPS, which initiates a nucleophilic attack at the intronic 5' splice site, thus starting the first of two transesterification reactions that mediate splicing.
Source: Rfam by way of RNAcentral